Molecule: ribosomal RNA, 395 nt
Filed under: uncultured bacterium
Lineage: Bacteria
Description: bacterial SSU rRNA
Rfam family: Bacterial small subunit ribosomal RNA
Source: RNAcentral
GAUGAACGCUAGCGGCAGGCUUAAUACAUGCAAGUCGAGGGGCAGCAGGUUUGUAGCAAUACAGAUGCUGGCGACCGGCAAACGGGUGCGGAACACGUACACAACCUUCCUUUAAGUGGGGAAUAGCCCAGAGAAAUUUGGAUUAAUACCCCGUAACAUUAUGAUGUGGCAUCACAUUAUAAUUAUAGCUCCGGCGCUUAAUGAUGGGUGUGCGGCUGAUUAGAUAGUUGGCGGGGUAACGGCCCACCAAGUCUGCGAUCAGUAACUGGUGUGAGAGCACGACCAGUCACACGGGCACUGAGACACGGGCCCGACUCCUACGGGAGGCAGCAGUGGGGAAUCUUGCGCAAUGGGCGAAAGCCUGACGCAGCGACGCCGCGUGAGGGAUGACGGCC